This 517-nucleotide ribosomal RNA is filed under the name uncultured bacterium. Its description in RNAcentral is "bacterial SSU rRNA". It matches the Rfam family "Bacterial small subunit ribosomal RNA", at positions 1001 to 1519 of the family's 1533-position model. The record is from RNAcentral.
CGUAACGGGGGCAGGCCUUCGGGACAGAAGAGACAGGUGGUGCAUGGUUGUCGUCAGCUCGUGUCGUGAGAUGUUGGGUUAAGUCCCGCAACGAGCGCAACCCCUAUCCCCAGUAGCCAGCAGUAAGAUGGGCACUCUGUGGAAACUGCCAGGGACAACCUGGAGGAAGGCGGGGAUGACGUCAAAUCAUCAUGCCCCUUAUGAUCUGGGCUAUACACGUGCUACAAUGGCGUAAACAGAGGGAGGCGAAGGAGCGAUCCGGAGCAAACCCCAGAAAUAACGUCCCAGUUCGGAUUGCAGGCUGCAACCCGCCUGCAUGAAGCUGGAAUCGCUAGUAAUCGCGGAUCAGAAUGCCGCGGUGAAUACGUUCCCGGGUCUUGUACACACCGCCCGUCACACCAUGGGAGUCGGUAACGCCCGAAGUCAGUGACCCAACCUUAACGGAGGGAGCUGCCGAAGGCGGGACUGGUAACUGGGGUGAAGUCGUAACAAGGUAGCCGUAUCGGAAGGUGCGGCU